Non-coding RNA from Drosophila bipectinata, 211 nucleotides. NCBI's taxonomy places the organism in Eukaryota, Metazoa, Arthropoda, Insecta, Diptera, Drosophilidae. The record is from RefSeq and is a predicted model, not a curated record.
CGUUUUAAGAUUUCUGCAUAGAAAUUUCGCAUAGCUUGGGUCUGAUUUCCUUAUAUUUUAUUCGGAUCUGAUUGGAACUGUCCUUUUCUUAUUUUUUUAUUUGCCUUUACCAUUUAACAUAACUUUGUCAAGUAAACUGGAGCAUCGGUCCGGGGGUGUCUGUCAUCCGGUCUGAUUUUCUGAUUUUUGUUUUAUUUUCAAUAUAUUCAUA